GACAGAGGUGCCGAGCGUUAGGCGGAAUCACUGGGCUUAAAGCGUGUGUAGGUGGAUGUCUAAGUACCUUGUGAAAUCCCACGGCUUAACCGCGGAACGGCUCGGUAUACUGGAUGUCUUGAGCCAGCUAGGGGCUACCGGAACAAAUGGUGGAGCGGUGAAAUGCGUAGAUAUCAUUUGGAACGCCAAUGGUGAAAACAGGUAGCUGGGGCUGUGCUGACACUGAGACACGAAAGCCAGGGGAGCGAACGGG
Molecule: ribosomal RNA, 253 nt
Filed under: uncultured bacterium
Lineage: Bacteria
Description: partial 16S ribosomal RNA
Rfam family: Bacterial small subunit ribosomal RNA
Source: RNAcentral